GUGGGGAAUAUUGGACAAUGGGCGAAAGCCUGAUCCAGCCAUGUCGCGUGUGUGAAGAAGGUCUUCGGAUUGUAAAGCACUUUAAGUUGGGAGGAAGGGCAGUAAGUUAAUACCUUGCUGUUUUGACGUUACCGACAGAAUAAGCACCGGCUAACUUCGUGCCAGCAGCCGCGGUAAUACGAAGGGUGCAAGCGUUAAUCGGAAUUACUGGGCGUAAAGCGCGCGUAGGUGGUUUUGUAAGUUGGAGGUGAAAUCCCCGGGCUCAACCUGGGAACUGCCACCAAAACUGCAUGACUAGAGUACGGUAGAGGGUAGUGGAAUUUCCUGUGUAGCGGUGAAAUGCGUAGAUAUAGGAAGGAACACCAGUGGCGAAGGCGACUACCUGGACUGAUACUGACACUGAGGUGCGAAAGCGUGGGGAGCAAACAGGAUUAGAUACCCGGGUAGUCC
This 450-nucleotide ribosomal RNA is filed under the name uncultured bacterium. Its description in RNAcentral is "partial 16S ribosomal RNA". It matches the Rfam family "Bacterial small subunit ribosomal RNA", at positions 354 to 796 of the family's 1533-position model. The record is from RNAcentral.